GGCAGGGCUGUAGUAUUGUAAUACUGUAUCUGGUCUGUAAUAGAGACGGCAGGGCUGUAGUAUUGUAAUAGUGUAUCUGGUUUGUUGUAGAGGCGGGCAGGGCUGUAGUUUACAGCUGUAGUAUUGUUGUACUGUAUCUGGUCUGUAGUAGAGCCGGUCCGGGCAGGGCUGUAGUAUUGUAAUACUGUAUCUGGUCUGUAAUAGAGACGGGCAGGGCUGUAGUAUUGUAAUAUUAUAUCUGGUCUGUAGUAGAGACGGGCAGGGCUGUAGUAUUGUAGUACUGUAUCUGAUCUGUAAUAGAGAUGGGCUGUGUUGUAGUAUACAGCUGUGGUACUGUAGUACUGUAUCUAGUCUGUAGUAGAGCUGGGCAGGGCUGUAGUACUGUAAUACUGUAUCUGGUCUGUAGUAGAGAUGAGCUGGGCUGUACUAUUGUAAUACUGUAUCUGGUCUGUAGUAGAGAUGGGCUGGGCUGUAGUAUACAGCUGUAGUAUUGUAGUACUGUAUCUAGUCUGUAGUAGAGACGAGCUGGGCUGUAGUAUUGUUGUACUGUAUCUGGUCUGUAGCAGAGAUGGGCAGGGCUGUAGUAUUGUUGUACUGUAUCUGGUCUGUAGAGAGACGACCUGGACUGUAGUAUUGUAGUACUGUAUCUGGUCUGUAGUAGAGAUGGGCAGGGCUGUAAUAUUGUAAUACUGUAUCUGGUCUGUAAUAGAGAUGGGCUGGGCUGUAGUACUGUAAUACUGUAUCUGGUCUGUAGUAGAGGUGGGCUGGGCUGUAGUAUUGUAGUACUGUAUCUGGUCUGUAGUAGAGACGGGAAGGGAUGUAGUAUAAAGCUGUAGUACUGUAGUACUGUAUCUAGUGUGUAGUAAAGCUGGGCAGGGCUGUAGUAUUGUAAUACUGUAUCUGGUCUGUUGUAGAGAUGGGCUGGGCUGUAGUAUACAGCUGUAGUAUUGUAAUACUGUGUCUGGUCUGUAAUAGAGAUGUGCUUGGCUGUAGUAUUGUAAUACUGAAUCUGGUCUGUAGUAGAGAUGAGCAGGGCUGUAGUAUACAGCUGUAGUAUUGUAGUACUGUAUCUGGUCUGUAAUAGAGACGGGCAGGGCUGUAGUAUUGUAAUACUGUAUCUGGUCUGUAGUAGAGCCGGGCAGGGCUGUAGUGUUGUAGUACUGUAUCUGGUCUGUAGUAGAGCCCCUCUCAGGGCUGUAGUACUGUAGUACUGUAUCGGGUCUGUAGUAGAGCCGGGCAGGGCUGUAGUUUUGUGGUACUGUAUCUGGUCUGUAAUAGAGACGGGCAGGGCUGUAGUAUUGUAAUACUGUAUCUUGUCUGUAAUAGAGACGGGCAGGGCUGUAGUAUACAGCUGUAGUUUUGUAGUACUGUAUCUGGUCUGUAGUAUAGACGUGCAGGGCUGUAGUAUUGUAAUACUGUAUCUGGGCUGUAGUUUUGUGGUACUGUAUCUGGUCUGUAAUAGAGACGGGCAGGGAUGUAGUAUUGUAAUACUGUAUCUUGUCUGUAAUAGAGACGGGCAGGGCUGUAGUAUACAGCUGUAGUUUUGUAGUACUGUAUCUGG
RNAcentral lists this long non-coding RNA (1561 nucleotides) under Salmo salar (Atlantic salmon). RNAcentral describes it as "lncRNA (ENSSSAG00000098984.1)". Lineage: Eukaryota; Metazoa; Chordata; Actinopteri; Salmoniformes; Salmonidae. The record is from RNAcentral.